Molecule: ribosomal RNA, 515 nt
Filed under: uncultured bacterium
Lineage: Bacteria
Description: partial 16S ribosomal RNA
Rfam family: Bacterial small subunit ribosomal RNA
Source: RNAcentral
GAUGAACGCUGGCGGCGUGCCUAAUACAUGCAAGUCGAGCGAAUGGAUUAAGAGCCUGCUCUUAUGAAGUUAGCGGCGGACGGGUGAGUAACACGUGGGUAACCUGCCCAUAAGACUGGGAUAACUCCGGGAAACCGGGGCUAAUACCGGAUAACAUUUUGAACCGCAUGGUUCGAAAUUGAAAGGCGGCUUCGGCUGUCACUUAUGGAUGGACCCGCGUCGCAUUAGCUAGUUGGUGAGGUAACGGCUCACCAAGGCAACGAUGCGUAGCCGACCUGAGAGGGUGAUCGGCCACACUGGGACUGAGACACGGCCCAGACUCCUACGGGAGGCAGCAGUAGGGAAUCGUCCGCAAUGGACGAAAGUCUGACGGAGCAACGCCGCGUGAGUGAUGAUGGCUUUCGGGUCGUAAAACUCUGUUGUUAGGGAAGAACAAGUGCUAGUUGAAUAAGCUGGCACCUUGACGGUACCUAACCAGAAAGCCACGGCUAACUACGUGCCAGCCGCCGCAGUAA